Molecule: transfer RNA, 72 nt
Filed under: Chloroflexota bacterium
Lineage: Bacteria; Bacillati; Chloroflexota
Also listed under: 1 other name
Description: tRNA-Cys
Rfam family: tRNA
About the family: Transfer RNA (tRNA) molecules are approximately 80 nucleotides in length. Their secondary structure includes four short double-helical elements and three loops (D, anti-codon, and T loops).
Source: RNAcentral
GACGGCGUAGCCAAGUGGAAAGGCAAGGGUCUGCAAAAUCCUAAAGCGCGGGUUCGAUUCCUGCCGCCGUCU